GAAGGCGGCCUGAGGGCGAGGGUGGCCGAGGAGGGGUCAGGGCACUGCGGAGUCAGCCAAGCGGCCACGGCGGGGCCCCCUCCCCACCGCGAUGGCCCUGCCGCCCCCUCCCCCGCGGGCGCGCACACACACACACGCACUCACACACUCACGCCGCGCUCCGCCGCCGCCUCACCUCUCGCUCCGCCCGGCCGGCCCCCUGCCCUGCCCCCUGCGGGACCGGCCUGCGCGCAGCGCUGGAACCACGUAGGAGGCGGCGGCGGCCGCGGGAGUGGCGGAGUCUCCGGCCCGGCCCAGAGUGAGCGAGCAGCGGGGCUCCGGGCGCAUCCCAGCGCCCGCAGCGCCUCCUCCGCCGCCGCCGCCUCCCCCCUCCCCUCCUCCCGGCUUCAUUCACCCUCUCAGCAGCCGCGCAGCCGCUCACUCCCGGCGCGGGCAGGGCAGCGCCUGCCGCGGCUUCCCGGCUCCGGCCGCGGGCGCUGGCGGGGCGCCGGCCCGGGCUGGGGCGCUCGCGGGCCCCGGCUCCGGGCGGCGGCGGCGGCUGCACAUGAUCAGGAAGCGGCCGUACCAACAGGGCGGCGGCGGCGGCCGCGGAGUGGCGGAGUCUCCGGCCCGGCCCAGAGUGAGCGAGCAGCGGGGCUCGGGCGCAUCCCAGCGCCCGCAGCGCCUCCUCCGCCGCCGCCGCCUCCCCUCCCUCCUCCCGGCUUCAUUCACCCUCUCAGCAGCCGCGCAGCCGCUCACUCCCGGCGCGGGCAGGGCAGCGCCUGCCGCGGCUUCCGGCUCCGGCCGCGGGCGCUGGCAGGGGCGCCGGCCCGGGCUGGGGCGCUCGCGGGCUCCCGGCUCCGGGCGGCGGCGGCGGCUGCACAUGAUCAGGAAGCGGCCGUACCAACAGGGCGGCGGCGGCGGCGGCAGCCGCCCGAGCCGCCACCGCUACUCCGGCCGCGCUCCCGGCACCGCGCGCCCGUUCCCCCCGCGCCCACCUCCCUCGGUGCCCCCCGCGAUCCCACCGACCGGCGGCGCGCGCAAAGUCCCGACCCGGCCGCGGGCGCAGACCCUCCUGGUCCGCAGUCGCGCGCCGGCCCAGGCGGGCCUCCGUCGGGAGACCCCCGCCCCGGGGGGCUCCGGGGCCAAGCGGCCCCCGCGGUAAAGCCAGCCCUUUUCCAGAUCCGCUCGCUCUCGCCGCCCUCUGCGAAGAGAGGAGUGAGGAGGGGGCGGCGGGAGGAGGGGACAGCGAGACCCCCGGCCGCCGCCUCCCCCCUACGCCACCUCCUGGGAAGAGGACACGGCUCUCCCCACUGGCGAUCGGACCGGCAGCCGCCGUAG
RNAcentral lists this long non-coding RNA (1320 nucleotides) under Bos grunniens (domestic yak). RNAcentral's name for it is "lncRNA (ENSBGRG00000009956.1)". Lineage: Eukaryota; Metazoa; Chordata; Mammalia; Artiodactyla; Bovidae. The record is from RNAcentral.